RNAcentral lists this ribosomal RNA (254 nucleotides) under uncultured bacterium. RNAcentral's name for it is "partial 16S ribosomal RNA". It matches the Rfam family "Bacterial small subunit ribosomal RNA", at positions 524 to 776 of the family's 1533-position model. The record is from RNAcentral.
UACGGAGGGUGCAAGCGUUGUCUGGAAUCACUGGGCGUAAAGGGCGCGUAGGCGGCCCGGUAAGUAGGGGGUGAAAUCCUGCGGCUUAACCGCAGGGCUGCCUUCUAAACUGUCGGGCUCGAGCACGGUAGAGGCAGAUGGAAUUCCCGGUGUAGCGGUGGAAUGCGUAGAGAUCGGGAAGAACAUCAGUGGCGAAGGCGGUCUGCUGGGCCGUUGCUGACGCUGAGGCGCGACAGCGUGGGGGAGCAAACAGG